GCGGAAAUAGCUCAGUUGGUAGAGCAUAAACUUGCCAAGGUUAGGGUCGCGAGUUCGAGUCUCGUUUUCCGCU
This 73-nucleotide transfer RNA is filed under the name Bacteroides sp. RNAcentral describes it as "tRNA-Gly". It matches the Rfam family "tRNA". From Rfam's summary of the family: Transfer RNA (tRNA) molecules are approximately 80 nucleotides in length. Lineage: Bacteria; Pseudomonadati; Bacteroidota; Bacteroidia; Bacteroidales; Bacteroidaceae. The record is from RNAcentral.